Molecule: transfer RNA, 74 nt
Filed under: Oscillospiraceae bacterium
Lineage: Bacteria; Bacillati; Bacillota; Clostridia; Eubacteriales; Oscillospiraceae
Also listed under: 2 other names
Description: tRNA-Gly
Rfam family: tRNA
About the family: Transfer RNA (tRNA) molecules are approximately 80 nucleotides in length. Their secondary structure includes four short double-helical elements and three loops (D, anti-codon, and T loops).
Source: RNAcentral
GCAGGCGUAGUUUAAUGGCAGAACCCCAGCUUCCCAAGCUGGCUACGAGGGUUCGAUUCCCUUCGCCUGCUCCA